Molecule: non-coding RNA, 1059 nt
Organism: Elaeis guineensis (African oil palm)
Lineage: Eukaryota; Viridiplantae; Streptophyta; Magnoliopsida; Arecales; Arecaceae
Source: RefSeq, a predicted model, not a curated record
AAUGAUUGCAUCUUUAAGAAGAUCCAGCCCUUCUUCCACAACAAUUCCUUGCUUGCUGGUGCUUUAUGGACAUCAUCAGAACUUGAAAGUCUUUUCAGCGAGAUGCUUGGUUGUGUCUAAUGCCUUCAUUAUGAUCAUAUGCCUUCCCAAAACUGCUUUGUGUACUCAGCAACCCUGCUGCAUUUUUUCUCUCUCUCAACCCCUCGCAUGCAACUUUCAUAGUGAAAGGUUCUGCAGCACUUUGCAAGUUGCUCACACUACCAUCACUCAUACAUUGAUAUGCUAAUGCUUCUUGAGCACUCUCUUCCAUACCUUUUGCAAAAUAUAGUUUGUUAAUGAUGAUGGAAAGGAAGUUAGAUGCCUCCAGCCCUUCACUGAGGCAGAUAUUGAAGAAUUGCAGGGUGAGGAGAAUUUCAGUGACAAGGAAGACGUGGCAAGGUGCAGGAAGGGGCGGAUCCAUGGAGAGGGGCAUGGAUGGGGCCAAUACCACCACAACAACAAUCAUAAUGGAGGCUAUGCUAUUGGUACCCCACCUUCAAGCCACCCAGUCCAUGCUGAUUAGCAUUCAACUGUUGGUAAGCAACCACCUGGGCCCUGCAUACCAGAUGGUAGAAGGCGAUUCAGAAUGGGUUGAGGGAGGCCACUCGGUACAGAUCAAUGACAUUCCAAAUAUUAGCUUGACGGCACUGUAGUUUGUCAUGUUGAUUGGGUGACUUCUGAUAGGGGCGACUGUCAGAUUAAUCCAUUGCAGUUGGGAUGGUGAGCAACUGUGAUCUUAAGACUUGGUGGUUUCAGAGUCGAUUCUGUAUCUUCCCCCUACUUGGGGAGUAUUUUGGUAUCCUAUAGGACCUUGAUAUCAAUUUUCCUUGCCACGUUGUUGCCUUGUUGUUCCUUUGAUGCUUUCAACGUUCUCGUGUAAAAACAAAAGGAAAUAGAGUAGGGUAAACUGGUAAAUGUAGACUGAUAAAUGAUGUUCUCUGGAAUAGUUGAGAUGUUGUAUGUGAAAAUAUAUUGCCGUAGUACAGAAAAUAAAUCUUGUGAGUAACUUGGAUUUCCUUU